GGUAGCUUCACAAUGACAACGAGCUAGCUAACGUUAGGCACCUAGCUAGAAUUCGUAACAUAUUAUACAUAUUGCUAAUUGGUAAUAUAUUGUACGUUUUGCAAAUUCAUAAAAUAUAAUAUGAAUUAUAAUUUGUCUAAUAUCAUACGAAAUGGUUGAUGGACAUCCACAAAUUAAUUCAUACCAUACGAAAUAUAACAUAUCAUACUAAAUGGAAUGUCUCGGAUUUAAAUACAAAAUAAUAAGAAAUGAUCUGAGGCCAGGUGCACCUACACACACACACACACACACACACACACACAGCAGUAGGCUGUCCAUUGUGUUGACACUGCAGCAGAGAUACACAUUUUGUGUCAACCUGUCACUCAAUCGUUAUAACUUUUAAAAUGUUUUUAUAUUGAGACAUUACAACAAAAACUGAGGGGGCACAAGUUUCAACUGAGGGGGCUAAUCCCUCUUUUGACUAAUCGUGGAACCGGGCCAGCUACAGUAUAGUGUAUAAUUUUUACUUUUCUAAACGUUAAAACAGAGCGUCGAAUGUUUGUUUACAUUGAGACAAAUGCCGGUGUAACACCUGAACCCCUGAAAACCAAUAUACAGAGAAGGGUUUUCGAGAGCUAACGUUAGCAUACUGUAGUUAUCAGCUGAUUUAGUAGUCACACCAUGAUUAACUGUAUAUGGCAAUAAGGAGACGACGACAGUCAUUAACACCAAAUGUAUAUACCGUUACUGUAUAGGUUAUUGGACGAUUUAGACGAUUUUAAAAUGUAAAAUAAACAAAAAUGCUCAAUCAAUUUUAGCUAGCUAGGUACAUUACCUUGGUUUGUUUCCGUAUGUGCGGAUUGGAUUUUGCGAAUCUUUGUUUCACUACUAACAAGUAAAUAGAGGGCACCGUAUCUCAAGACAUGACUGGAGAGAUAUGACUGGAGAGAAAAACUGUUUGGAGAACUGUACCUAGUCAAUGCACUUUGCUGUUUAAUGUAUGCAACUUGCUACUAUGAGUUCAGAUUCGGUUAUAUUGUUGGAGACGGUGACAUUUUCUGCUGAAAACCACCAAGAUCAACGGACUAAAGACCCCAAAGAAACCAACUAUCCAAUAGGUACCGUAGCCUCUCCCUAUUACCUAUCAAUGAUGGAGCUAUAUAAAAAUCAUUCGUACUAAUGUGGUGGAAAACUGGAUUUUUGAAAGCAAAUACCAAGUUGGCAGCAUCCAGCACUCACCAAGUUUCUUUCCUUUAUCCUGAAGAUCCUCUUUUUGACCAUUUAGAUGCACCAGGUCCCUAGCAGAGCAAACCACCAGGUCUAAUUGCCCAACAUCAGUGCCCAACUUCACUAAUGCUCUUGUGGCUGAAUGGAAACAAUUCCCCUCAGCAAUGCUCCAACAUCUAGUGGAAAGCCUUCCCAGAAGAGUGGAGGAUGUUAUAGCAGCAAAAGGGGACCAACUCCAUAUUAAUGCCUAUGAUUUUGGAAUGAGAUGUUUGACGAGCAGAUGUCCACAUACCUUUGGUCAUGUAGUGUAUUUUCUUGCAUUACAGGUGCAGUAUAUGUAAAGGGCAGUAAUUGUGAAUGUUAAUAAUUUUAUUCCGCUCUUUAAUUAUCCAAGAUUACAACUUCAAAUGUUUGCAGAGGCGAGGACUUACACAUCCCAGUGGAUGUCUUUCCAUCUUCUGAAGUGUCUUUCUACAACAACAGCCCCAUAACAAAUGAAAACACACCACAGAUACAGUCAACAUUAGAAGUCUUCAUUCAAUCUGAACAGUAAACAGAGGAGAGGACGAAAGAGGUGUCUGGUGGAUGGCUGCCAGGUCACCGUCAUUCACCUUCCUCGUCACCUGCGGCAGGUUCAUGAGUGGGGCAGAGAGGAGGCCCAGUCUGCAGUCAACACAUUCGGCCUCAGAGCACCAAGCAGACAUGAUGGCAGCAGCAGCAGCAAGGCUAAAAACGACUAUCACUCCAGGCCUUUCCCCAUUCUGUCAUGCAGUGGUCAAAAGACUGCCAUCCCACCUGAGAAAGCAACACAAGCUUGAAAAGAACUCUCCUCUUGUCACGACUUCCGCCGAAGUUGGUGCCUCUCCUUAUUCGGGCGGCGUUCGGCGGUCAUCGUCACCGGCUUUCUAGCUACCACCGAUUCAUGUUUCUUUGUCCAUUUGUUAUGUCUUGAUUGUUCACACCUGGUUCCCAUUUCGUUAUGAUUAUUUCCCUAUUUAAACCCUCUGGUUAUCAUGAUGUUUUGUGCGUUAUUAUUUUACUGUUGGUCGUGUUAGUUGUGUUUGUCAUAUUUGUUUUAUCCCUGCGUGGAUUUUGACUGAUGAGCUUUUCUAAGAGUAAAUACGUAUAUUUUACUCAGUUCGGUGUCCUGCGAUUGACUCUAUUUCUCAUCUCCACUACACUGACACUGAUACCUCUAUACAGAGAGCUUCUUACUUCAUCCGGGAGGAGAAAGACACAGACCUGUAGACCAGGAGCCCAACAGACCCAUUGCUUCAUACCGAUCUCUCCUUUGUCAAAACAAACAGAAGACCUGCAUAUUUCGAUUUCCAAUGUUUACGGAGGAAAGGACUUACACAUCCAAGAGGAAGUCCUUCCAUCCUCUGAGGAGUCUAUUGACAACAAGACUCCCGUAACACUGAAAAACAAACUCCAUAAACCUAACAACCAACUUCCGACAAGAGCCGCAAAGCGAAGCAAAGCCCAAAACAAACUCAAAACACUCAACAGUAAACAGAAGAGAGGAGUGAAGAGGUGUCCAGUGGAUGGCUGCCAGGUCACCGUCAUUCACUUUCCUCGUCACCUGCGGCAGGUCCAUGAGUGGGGCAGAGAGGAGGCCCAGUCUGAAGUCGGCCUGAGAGCACCAAGCAGACAUGGUGGCAGCAGCAGCAAGGCUAAAAACAACCAUCACUCCAGGCCUUUCCCCAUGACAGGCUGUCAUGAAGUGGUCAAAAGACUGCCAGCCCACCAGAGAAAGCAACACAAGCUUGAAAAGAACUGUCCUCUAUACAGAGAGCUUCUUACAGCGUCACAGAAGAGAAAGAAGGUCAAAUGUCAUUGAAUGAAUUUUAUGAUGUUUACUGUGAAUAAUUAUUCUACCUGAUGUAUUGAAGUUUAAUGAGAAAUAUGUAAUUGAAUUGGGACAUGAUUGAACAAGAGAAUAUUUGGGAAAGGAAUAAAAAAAGCGCUAGAACUGACACAUAGCUCGGCUAACUUCGAUGUCUGUUUUCCUUUAUCUACAGCAGGCCGACUCAGACACCCUUUCUGAGGCCUGUAACAGAUACAGCAUAGAAAAACCAGCAUCAAUUCAUAUCCGAAGUGGUCACACCCAUUUACACACAGACCUUUUUUGUAGGAUGUAAACCUUAUGUAUGUCCAGUGGUGUAAAGUACUUAAGUAAAAAUACUUUAAAGUACUACUUAAGUAGUUUUUUGGUUAUCUGUACUUAACUUUAUUAUUUAUAUUUUUGAAAACUUUUACUCCACUACAUUUCGCUGACACCCAAAAGUACUCGUUACAUUUUGAAUGCUUAGCAGGACAGGAAAAUUGUCUAAUUCACACAGUUAUCAAGAGAACCUCCCUGGUCAUCCCUACUGCCUCUGAUCUGGCAGACUCACUAAACACAAAUGCUUAGUUUGUAAAUUAUGUCUGACUGUUGAAGUGUGCCCCUGG
Molecule: long non-coding RNA, 3660 nt
Filed under: Salmo salar (Atlantic salmon)
Lineage: Eukaryota; Metazoa; Chordata; Actinopteri; Salmoniformes; Salmonidae
Description: lncRNA (ENSSSAG00000086787.1, ENSSSAG00000091656.1)
Source: RNAcentral